Molecule: ribosomal RNA, 258 nt
Filed under: uncultured bacterium
Lineage: Bacteria
Description: partial 16S ribosomal RNA
Rfam family: Bacterial small subunit ribosomal RNA
Source: RNAcentral
UACGUAGGGUGCAGGCGUUAAUCGGAAUUACUGGGCGUAAAGCGUGCGCAGGCGGUCUUUUAAGUCAGAUGUGAAAUCCCCGGGCUUAACCUGGGAACUGCGUUUGAAACUGGAAGGCUAGAGUGUGGCAGAGGGGGGUGGAAUUCCGACGUGUAGCAGUGAAAUGCGUAGAGAUGUGGAGGAACACCGAUGGCGAAGGCAGCCCCCUGGGCUAAGCAUCGUGACGCUCAUGCACGAAAGCGUGGGGAGCGAAACAGG